CGGGGCGUGGCGCAGAUGGCUAGCGUGCGCGGCUGGGGGCCGCGAGGUCGCAGGUUCAAGUCCUGUCGCCCCGA
RNAcentral lists this transfer RNA (74 nucleotides) under Minisyncoccota bacterium. RNAcentral's name for it is "tRNA-Pro". It matches the Rfam family "tRNA". From Rfam's summary of the family: Transfer RNA (tRNA) molecules are approximately 80 nucleotides in length. Their secondary structure includes four short double-helical elements and three loops (D, anti-codon, and T loops). The record is from RNAcentral. Lineage: Bacteria; Bacillati; Minisyncoccota.